Molecule: ribosomal RNA, 381 nt
Filed under: uncultured bacterium
Lineage: Bacteria
Description: bacterial SSU rRNA
Rfam family: Bacterial small subunit ribosomal RNA
Source: RNAcentral
GACGAACGCUGGCGGCGUGCUUAACACAUGCAAGUCGAACGGUAAGGCCCUUCGGGGUACACGAGUGGCGAACGGGUGAGUAACACGUGGGUGAUCUGCCCUGCACUUCGGGAUAAGCCUGGGAAACUGGGUCUAAUACCGGAUAGGACCAUGGACUUCACGGUUUGUGGUGGAAAGCUUUUUGCGGUGUGGGAUGGGCCCGCGGCCUAUCAGCUUGUUGGUGGGGUAAUGGCCUACCAAGGCGACGACGGGUAGCCGGCCUGAGAGGGUGUCCGGCCACACUGGGACUGAGAUACGGCCCAGACUCCUACGGGAGGCAGCAGUGGGGAAUAUUGCACAAUGGGCGCAAGCCUGAUGCAGCGACGCCGCGUGAGGGAUGAC